UAAAUUUAACAUUCACUUAAAUAUCUAUUGCAGUUUCUUUUGGGUUCUUCCAGAAUAAUUUUUUCUUAUUCUUUACCUUAAUUUUUAAGGGUAUUCAAGAAGAUCUCCAUGUUUAUAAAAUCUAAGUUAACCAUUUCUCCCCUUUUCAUUCUGAUGUAUAAGUUUACAGCCCAGAAAUAGGUUGCUAAAGCUAUGUUUUAAUAUUACGUGAAUGCACAAAAGAUGGAGGAUUCUCUAUGGGAGGAUGCAUGGCAAUGCAUUUAGCAUAUAGAAAUCAUCAAGAUGUGGCAGGAGUAUUUGCUCUUUCUAGUUUUCUGAAUAAAGCAUCUGCUGUUUACCAGGCUCUUCAGAAGAGUAAUGGUGUACUUCCUGAAUUAUUUCAGUGUCAUGGUACUGCAGAUGAGUUAGUUCUUCAUUCUUGGGCAGAAGAGACAAACUCAAUGUUAAAAUCUCUAGGAGUGACCACGAAGUUUCAUAGUUUUCCAAAUGUUUACCAUGAGCUAAGCAAAACUGAGUUAGACAUAUUGAAGUUAUGGAUUCUUACAAAGCUGCCAGGAGAAAUGGAAAAACAAAAAUGAAUGAAUCAAGAGUGAUUUGUUAAUGUAAGUGUAAUGUCUUUGUGAAAAGAGAUUUUUACUGCCAAAUUAUAAUGAUAAUUAAAAUAUUAAGAAAUAACACUUUCCUGACUUUUUUAUUAUUAAAAUGCUUAUCACUGUAGACAGUAGCUAAUCUUAUUAAUGAAAAACAAUAGACAAACAUCUGUGCAUAAUUUUUCAGACACAAUUCUGUAAAUAUUUGGAAACCUUUUAAGUAUUUAAACUUUUAAAUUUUUGAAAUAAAGUAUUCUAAACUAAUAUAAAUAAGGACAAUGAAAAAACAUGAAAGGACUUAGCAUAGUGUUAUUUUAUCUUUUCUACAACUUUGUUUAAAUUACCUUUCCAAAGAUAUUUGUGUUUAUGUAAUUUUCCACGGAAUAACAUUAAUACUCUAGGUUUAUAAACCGGUUUCGCAUUAUUUCAUUUGAUCAUCACAAGAGCUUUGUGAAGUAAGCCGAGAAGUUGUUACUGGUAUUUAAUAAUAGCAAUAGAGGAGUUAAAGACUUUCCCACAGCUUGCAGGUCAAGACAAGAAAUUCAGGUCUCCUAAUUCUCAGUGGAGCUCUAUUUCUGUUAACCCAAAUUGCUGCUCUGUUUUAGGUCUCAAUUUCAUCUGUAAAAUGAUAUUAAUAGUACUUAUCCCAUUGGAUUUUUGUUGAGAUUUAAAUAAAUAGCCAAAAGCCAAUACAUAAUAAACACUCAAUAAAGAUUAACCAUAAGGAGAGUCAUGAUCUAGUUCCAGGAAUACAUUGUUAGAUGACUGAAAAAUUGUAUUACUUCAAUGAAAAUACUAUAAAUAAUAACAUUUUCAUAUAUUAGUUGGUUCUCAUGCAUACAUAAUCUAAUUUUAUUUGAUCCUCACAACUUUUUUAUUAAGUAUACAUUAUCCCUAUUUGUAUAAAUAGAAUCAUACAAUACCUGCCUGCUUUCAUUCAACAAAAUUAUCAUGAGAUUUUUCCAUGUUGUGUACAUCAAUAGUUCAUCUAUUUUAUUGCUCAGUAAUAUUCCAUUGUGUGGAUGUAUCACUAUUUGUUUACACAUUCACCACUGAUAUAUAAGUUGCUUCCAGUGUGAGGCUGUUAUAAAUAAAGCUGCUAUGAAUAUUCAUGUAAGA
This 1709-nucleotide small RNA is filed under the name Pan troglodytes (chimpanzee). Its description in RNAcentral is "processed transcript". The record is from RNAcentral. Lineage: Eukaryota; Metazoa; Chordata; Mammalia; Primates; Hominidae.